Molecule: transfer RNA, 73 nt
Filed under: Stegodyphus mimosarum
Lineage: Eukaryota; Metazoa; Arthropoda; Arachnida; Araneae; Eresidae
Description: tRNA-Thr for anticodon CGU
Rfam family: tRNA
About the family: Transfer RNA (tRNA) molecules are approximately 80 nucleotides in length. Their secondary structure includes four short double-helical elements and three loops (D, anti-codon, and T loops).
Source: Rfam by way of RNAcentral
GCCUUCGUGGUGUAGUGGUCAGCACGCUCGACGCGUAUUCGAGAGGUCCGUGGUUCGAAUCCCGGUGAGGGCA